GACGAACGCUGGCGGCGUGCUUAACACAUGCAAGUCGAACGGUGAAGGUGGAGCUUGCUCCGCCGGAUCAGUGGCGAACGGGUGAGUAACACGUGGGCAACCUGCCCCUCACUUCGGGAUAACUCCGGGAAACCGGGGCUAAUACCGAAUACGACCUCCUUGGGCAUCCCGGGAGGUGGAAAGUUUUUCGGUGAGGGAUGGGCCCGCGGCCUAUCAGCUUGUUGGUGAGGUAACGGCUCACCAAGGCGACGACGGGUAGCCGGCCUGAGAGGGAGACCGGCCACACUGGGACUGAGACACGGCCCAGACUCCUACGGGAGGCAGCAGUGGGGAAUAUUGCGCAAGGGGCGAAAGCCUGACGCAGCAACGCCGCGUGCGGGAUGAAGGCCUUCGGGUUGUAAACCGCUUUCAGCAGGGAAGAAGCCGCAAGGUGACGGUACCUGCAGAAGAAGCACCGGCUAACUACGUGCCAGCCGCCGCAGUAA
RNAcentral lists this ribosomal RNA (485 nucleotides) under uncultured bacterium. RNAcentral's name for it is "partial 16S ribosomal RNA". It matches the Rfam family "Bacterial small subunit ribosomal RNA", at positions 28 to 523 of the family's 1533-position model. The record is from RNAcentral.